CGCAGAUGAAGACCGUUUCCUUCAGGAUGGCUUGUCUGAGGGCAAGAAACCACCCUCACAACCCAUAACUUGCCCUCGGGAUAGUUGUACCAACAGUGGCUGUUGUUUUGUCUGAAUCCAGGUGACUGACUCUAUUGUGGAUACUGGAAAGCUGCUAGCAGCUGCUUGGCAAAGUGGCAAGAGCGGAUCCUUGGCAGUGACAGACCCUCAAAGUGCUUAAGGAACACAUUGGAAGGUUAUCACUGUCUUGCACAGAUGCAGAGCUGCACAGGUCCCAGAAAAUUGGAAGCCUCACCUUGACAAUGUCCUGCGGGUACCUGCUGUACCAAUUCCAAACAGUGUCAUAGGUCCAGGAACUGAAACCCAGACUCCUGAAACAUACUAAGGGGACCCAAUGGCACCUGCCUUUCCCAACUGCCACCAGAAUGGCAUCUGAGGAAACAUCUUACCUUGUGGAAUGUGAGAAGACAGAUUAAGCUUGAAGACAGAUAAAAAGAGACCAUAGAAGUGAGGAGAGGAAGAGGAACAGGCCAGCAAAGAAUAUGCUAGUGCAGAAGGUCAAAAGAUGCAGUUCAGGGCUGAAUUCAGUUCCAGGCAACUUGAUUCAUCAUCACCAUCAUGUUUUCUUUCCUCCUCCCUCCCAAUCUCUUUCCUUGUGUCUCAUGCCUUUUUAAGAUUGUACGUCUGAAGGCAAGAACUGUCUAAUUAUUCAUUCUUGUAAACAUCUCUGGAAUCC
This is a long non-coding RNA of Varanus komodoensis (Komodo dragon), 736 nucleotides long. RefSeq lists it as uncharacterized. The record is from RefSeq and is a predicted model, not a curated record. NCBI's taxonomy places the organism in Eukaryota, Metazoa, Chordata, Lepidosauria, Squamata, Varanidae. The transcript is spliced from 3 exons.